AUGUUAUUAACAUAUACUCACAGAGAUAGGAAUUUCCUGAAUAAUCGGCCAUUCAAUGUACAUUGUGAUAUGUAGUCAUAUGAUUUGCUAACUUCCAAUUGCAGGGAAAAAAAACCCCACCUGAAUUGACUGAAUUAGUUAUCUUGUUUACCUUAUUAUCCACGUUUUUAUUGUAACCUGAUGUUAUAGAUGUGUGUGUGUAUGAUUGUAAGUGCCAUUGAUUUGACAGGGAUUUUGGUGUCUUUCUUUGCAACCAUUAUUUAUUAAUGUUUUCACAUACUAAUACCUAUUUGAUUUGUGAUUAGUGUAUUUGUGUUUGGAUGUAUUAUGCUUAAUUAAAGUGAAAACAAUAGUUUGGAGUAGAGGCUUAAAACAAACUGUUUCUCCAUGUUUAUUUUGCUCCUAGUCUGGUCACUCUUCAUCUAGAGAGGAGCUGCACUUGUAGCAUUUACAAUUAUAAAAGGAGUUUCAGCUGUCCUUGUACAAUUUACUUUAAUUUUAGUGAUAUUCAUGGGAUGUUAACUAUAAAAGGAAAGACUGAAGAUUCAGUGACUAGGAUUUUCCAAAUUUGGGAUUUUUGUGUUAACUAUAGGAAACACAACUUGAUACUCACCAUCAACACAUUGAAUCAAAUUUGGUGACAAAGAGUUGCUAUACAUGUUGUCUUCUCAUAUAUCUUUUUGAUGAUGCUUUUCUUCUUCUUCAUGUGUAAUUUGUUAAAUUUCAUUUGUCAGUGCUUUUGUUAGACUUGCACUCUUGUUCACUUAGCUAUCAGAUGUCGACAUUUAUCUUGAUGAUAGAAUCACUAUAAGCAUUUCAUUUAUGCAUAUUCUGAAGCUUCAAAGAGUGUUAUGCAGAUUUUAUGGGAAAUUGGAACAUCUGGGUACACUGGUUCUGGAACCACAUGGAUAAAGGAGUGGACCUCCGCCUUUGAAUCGUUGACCCAUUAUGCCAGAAUCUCUUAAAUGAUUUAUCUACGUGUUGCCUUCCUUUUAGUUUUGUUGUAGUAUAGUCAUUUUAUUUUAUAAGCAUAUGUCAUUCAAGGUGACCUUUAAAGAGGAUGCUUAUGAAAGGGAAAACUUUCUGGCUACAAAAUAUCCUUACAGGCAUUAGAUAUAUAAUCUUUAUAUACAUGGAGAUGCACUUUACAGGAGUAUUGCAAGUGUUUGAUGGUGGUUUUCCUUUCCUUGACAUUGUCUGAUAUAUGAUUUUGUCACUGGUUUCCUCUUCAAUCUAAAUGCAGUGAUUUAAACAUGUCCAUCUAAUAAAUGCAGGAUAUCAACUGAACUUGCUGCCUUGUCUAGUCAGCAACAUGGUGCCUCGUUUCAAGACUAAAGCAGCAACGAUAAUUUGUUCCAGCGAAAUCUGGGCAUAUCCAAUGAUCUCUCAAGUGAUCCCAACCAACAUUCACACAGAUCCUUGAAAAGCUAUACCAUGCCAGCCACGUCAUCAUUGGAAAUGAGUUGGUGAAGCUAGCAUCCAUUCACCUCUCAGUCAAUGAUUGUGCUUCUGCAAUGGAUACCAUAAAAUGGGUAGAUGCAAUAUUUUCACUGUAUUAUGGAUCUCACACGUCGAAGCUAUUUCCAUAUUUGGAAAAUCUCAAAAGAAAAGUUCUAAAGCUCGCUCCAUAAUGAGAAACCUUCUGUUUUAUCUGUUCAGUUGGCUGGCCGCAGAUGUAAUGAAUGUGGACAACCACUUCCUGAAAGUUAUGCGCCCCCUGCAGAUGAACCUUGGACAACUGGAAUUUUCAGUCAAUUGUUGCCAAAACUGCCUUGUCAACUGAAUGUGUCUCAUCUAAUGUUCUGGUACCUGUGUCUCAAUUCUGCUCUUAACUCAUCUCAGCCAUCAGUUAGCACCACUGAUACAUCUCUGUCUUCUGGCAAUGGAGCUUUGGAUCCUAUGGAUACGUCUCCUUGUUCUAUGGAUAUCAUGCAUGCAGA
This is a long non-coding RNA of Magnolia sinica, 1940 nucleotides long. RefSeq lists it as uncharacterized. The transcript has 3 exons. Lineage: Eukaryota; Viridiplantae; Streptophyta; Magnoliopsida; Magnoliales; Magnoliaceae. The record is from RefSeq and is a predicted model, not a curated record.